UAACGCGUGGGUAACCUGCCUCAUACAGGGGGAGUAACAGUUAGAAAUGACUGCUAAUACCGCAUAAGCGCACAGUGCUGCAUGGCACAGUGUGAAAAACUCCGGUGGUAUGAGAUGGACCCGCGUCUGAUUAGCUAGUUGGUGGGGUAACGGCCUACCAAGGCGACGAUCAGUAGCCGGCCUGAGAGGGUGAACGGCCACAUUGGGACUGAGACACGGCCCAAACUCCUACGGGAGGCAGCAUG
Molecule: ribosomal RNA, 245 nt
Filed under: uncultured bacterium
Lineage: Bacteria
Description: partial 16S ribosomal RNA
Rfam family: Bacterial small subunit ribosomal RNA
Source: RNAcentral